This 253-nucleotide ribosomal RNA is filed under the name uncultured bacterium. Its description in RNAcentral is "partial 16S ribosomal RNA". It matches the Rfam family "Bacterial small subunit ribosomal RNA", at positions 524 to 776 of the family's 1533-position model. The record is from RNAcentral.
UACGGGGGGGGCAAGCGUUGCUCGGAAUUACUGGGCGUAAAGGGUUUGUAGGUGGCCGGCUAAGUCAGACGUGAAAUCCCUCAGCUUAACUGGGGAACUGCGUCUGAAACUGAUCGGCUCGAGUGCAGGAGAGGAACGCGGAAUUCCAGGUGUAGCGGUGAAAUGCGUAGAUAUCUGGAGGAACACCGGUGGCGAAGGCGGCGUUCUGGACUGCAACUGACACUGUAAAACGAGAGCCAGGGGAGCAAACGGG